Molecule: ribosomal RNA, 274 nt
Filed under: uncultured bacterium
Lineage: Bacteria
Description: partial 16S ribosomal RNA
Rfam family: Bacterial small subunit ribosomal RNA
Source: RNAcentral
AUACGGAGGGUGCGAGCGUUAAUCGGAAUUACUGAGCGUAAAGCGUACGUAGGCGGUUGGUUAAGUUAGAUGUGAAAGCCCCGGGCUUAACCUGGGAACUGCAUUUAAAACUGGCGAACUAGAGUUGAGUAGAGGGGAGUGGAAUUUCAGGUGUAGCGGUGAAAUGCGUAGAGAUCUGAAGGAACACCAGUGGCGAAGGCGACUCCCUGGACUCGAACUGACGCUGAGGUACGAAAGCGUGGGUAGCAAACGGGAUUAGAAACCCUAGUAGUCC